AUUGAACGCUGGCGGCAUGCUUUACACAUGCAAGUCGAACGGCAGCGCGGGCUUCGGCCUGGCGGCGAGUGGCGAACGGGUGAGUAAUGCAUCGGAACGUGCCCAGUAGUGGGGGAUAGCCCGGCGAAAGCCGGAUUAAUACCGCAUACGACCUGAGGGUGAAAGCGGGGGACCGAAAGGCCUCGCGCUAUUGGAGCGGCCGAUGUCGGAUUAGCUAGUUGGUGAGGUAAAGGCUUACCAAGGCGACGAUCCGUAGCUGGUCUGAGAGGACGACCAGCCACACUGGGACUGAGACACGGCCCAGACUCCUACGGGAGGCAGCAGUGGGGAAUUUUGGACAACGGGGGCAACCCUGAUCCAGCCAUGCCGCGUGCGGGAAGAAGGCCUUCGGGUUGUAAACCGCUUUUGUUCGGGAAGAAAUCCUCUGGGCUAAUACCCCGGGGGGAUGACGGUACCGGAAGAAUAAGCACCGGCUAACUACGUG
Molecule: ribosomal RNA, 484 nt
Filed under: uncultured bacterium
Lineage: Bacteria
Description: partial 16S ribosomal RNA
Rfam family: Bacterial small subunit ribosomal RNA
Source: RNAcentral